This 301-nucleotide ribosomal RNA is filed under the name uncultured bacterium. RNAcentral's name for it is "partial 16S ribosomal RNA". It matches the Rfam family "Bacterial small subunit ribosomal RNA", at positions 509 to 808 of the family's 1533-position model. The record is from RNAcentral.
CAGUAGCCACGGUAAUACGUAGGGUGCAAGCGUUAAUCGGAAUUACUGGGCGUAAAGCGUGCGCAGGCGGUUAUAUAAGACAGAUGUGAAAUCCCCGGGCUCAACCUGGGAACUGCAUUUGUGACUGUAUAGCUAGAGUACGGCAGAGGGGGAUGGAAUUCCGCGUGUAGCAGUGAAAUGCGUAGAUAUGCGGAGGAACACCGAUGGCGAAGGCAAUCCCCUGGGCCUGUACUGACGCUCAUGCACGAAAGCGUGGGGAGCAAACAGGAUUAGAUACCCCCGUAGUCCCUGUCCUUAUACC